GGCAGACGGGUGAGUAACGCGUGGGAACGUACCCUUUACUACGGAAUAACGCAUGGAAACGUGUGCUAAUACCGUAUGUGCCCUUCGGGGGAAAGAUUUAUCGGUAAAGGAUCGGCCCGCGUUGGAUUAGCUAGUUGGUGGGGUAAAGGCCUACCAAGGCGACGAUCCAUAGCUGGUCUGA
This 181-nucleotide ribosomal RNA is filed under the name Rhizobium etli. Its description in RNAcentral is "partial 16S ribosomal RNA". It matches the Rfam family "Bacterial small subunit ribosomal RNA", at positions 97 to 295 of the family's 1533-position model. The record is from RNAcentral. Lineage: Bacteria; Pseudomonadati; Pseudomonadota; Alphaproteobacteria; Hyphomicrobiales; Rhizobiaceae.